AUGCUCCCCACAUAUACAUAUAUGGGGAGCAUAUAGUUGCCAGUUUGUCCUUCCGCACUUCCGUACUUCCGUACGGUCACACUUUUGUUACAGUUUCUCAUAGCACCUUCAAUACUUUUCCGAUCUCUUUCAUAUUUGGCAUGUAGAUACUUUGCAUGGACCUCUACCUUUUGAUGACUUUUGAGGUCACUGGGGUCAAGGUCACCAAGGCUAAUAAUAGACUUUUGUUACAGUUUCUCAUAGCACCUUCAAUACUUUACCGAUCUCUUUCAUAUUUGGCAUGUAGAUACCUUGCAUGGACCUCUACCUUUUGAUGACGUUUGAGGUCACUGGGGUCAAGGUCACCAAGGCUAAUAAUAGACUUUUGUUACAGUUUCUCAUAGCACCUU
Molecule: long non-coding RNA, 389 nt
Organism: Dreissena polymorpha
Lineage: Eukaryota; Metazoa; Mollusca; Bivalvia; Myida; Dreissenidae
Exons: 3
Source: RefSeq, a predicted model, not a curated record